UGCAGCAGUGUGCAGUGAGAUAUAUGUAAUUUUUAGGCCGUUAACAUUUCUUGUUAUAUUUUGUUUCAAUUGAAUUUCCACUUUCCUAGAUGUUUCAUUCUUAAUCCUUUUCUACAUUAAGUCCCAUAGGGCAGGUUAUAUGUGUUAAUGUAUAGGCUUAGAGAAAGCCAAGCCAAAGAGCAAACUGUAGGUCCACCCUAUAUUGUUCCAAUUUGAAUGGGUUAAUCAAGUUCAUUGUCUGGUUUUCUGUUAAGACAUGGUCAAAGUACCAGCAACUCUAAUUGGGUAACAAUAAGUAACUUUAGAACUUAGUAAAAGAAUAAUCUAUGUUGGUUCAGUUUCUGCAUGCUUUAUAUAGAGAGAAAAAGCUUUCAGCUAUCAGUUGUAUCAAAGUUUUCAGAGAGAGAGAGAGAGCGACAGAGAUUCAGAGAAAGAGAUAGAACUCCUAAUUUGUACUUUUGACAAGCUUCUCAUCUAGAUUUUACAAGUUUGCUAUAUAAGGUGUAAUCUGCUUAAAGCCUCCAAUUGUAUUUUAUCUCAAUCUUGGUUCGUCUGGGAUGAUGAAAUAAAGCACCAUUUCACAUAAGCCAACGCCAUUUUUGUGAAUAUAUUUCUUUUGGAGUGUAUUGACUUUGAAACUCCGCAUUGGUUACCAAGGGUAAAGUGCGGCAGUCACA
This is a long non-coding RNA of Lytechinus variegatus (green sea urchin), 677 nucleotides long. RefSeq lists it as uncharacterized. The record is from RefSeq and is a predicted model, not a curated record. NCBI's taxonomy places the organism in Eukaryota, Metazoa, Echinodermata, Echinoidea, Temnopleuroida, Toxopneustidae. The transcript is spliced from 2 exons.